UCUCUGACACACCAUGUAUGAGGUCUGGAGAGAGCCAUCUACAAUAAGAAAGAAGCAGUGGUAAGGCAGUGAUCUCAGUAUCCAAGGCAGAACACUCAUUGCCUUAACCAGAUCUUGGAACAAUGUGUUAUAAAUGUAAGAAAUAUCAUCUUGGGUUAUGCUACGGACUCAUGAGAUCCUGCACACUGAAGCAUAGACAGUCCUGUGCUGCUGAGAACUUUUACAUACUCACGAACAGAGGGCAGAGCAUGUAUCAUUAUUCAAGACUGUCAUGUAUGACCAACUGUGAGGACAUCAACUUCCUGAGUUUUGAAAGGAGGACAGAGCUAAUUUGUUGCAAGCACAGU
RNAcentral lists this long non-coding RNA (347 nucleotides) under Rattus norvegicus (Norway rat). RNAcentral's name for it is "long non-coding RNA NONRATT027566". Lineage: Eukaryota; Metazoa; Chordata; Mammalia; Rodentia; Muridae. The record is from RNAcentral.